RNAcentral lists this microRNA precursor (60 nucleotides) under Callorhinchus milii (elephant shark). Its description in RNAcentral is "Cmi-Mir-551-P1_pre stem-loop". Lineage: Eukaryota; Metazoa; Chordata; Chondrichthyes; Chimaeriformes; Callorhinchidae. The record is from RNAcentral.
GAAAUCAAGCAUGGGUGAAGCCCGUGAUAUGUUUGCUGGGCGACCCAUUCUUGUUUUCUG